AAAUCAGGCAGGACUACCCGCUGAACUUAAGCAUAUCAAUAAGCGGAGGAAAAGAAACUAACAAGGAUUCCCCUAGUAACUGCGAGUGAACCGGGAAAAGCUCAAAUUUUGAAUCCGGCGGUCUCCGGCCGCCCGAGUUGUAAUCUAGAGAAGCGUCUUCCGCGCUGGACCGUGUACAAGUCUCCUGGAAGGGAGCAUCGUAGAGGGUGACAAUCCCGUCUCCGACACGGACUACCAGGGCUAUGUGAUGCGCUCUCGACGAGUCGAGUUGUUUGGGAAUGCAGCUCAAAUCGGGUGGUAAACUCCAUCUAAAGCUAAAUACAGGCGAGAGACCGAUAGCGAACAAGUACCGUGAGGGAAAGAUGAAAAGA
Molecule: ribosomal RNA, 371 nt
Filed under: Astraeus hygrometricus
Lineage: Eukaryota; Fungi; Basidiomycota; Agaricomycetes; Boletales; Astraeaceae
Description: eukaryotic LSU rRNA
Rfam family: Eukaryotic large subunit ribosomal RNA
Source: RNAcentral